GGCUGGUCUGAAGGUAGUGGAUUAUCUCAAUGGAUUGUUCAGUCAGUUACAGAUGGGAAGUCCUUGUUCCACUCUUCCUCUGCUUCUCACUACUGCACUAGACUAGUCUUAA
Molecule: Y RNA, 112 nt
Filed under: Aotus nancymaae (Ma's night monkey)
Lineage: Eukaryota; Metazoa; Chordata; Mammalia; Primates; Aotidae
Description: Y RNA (ENSANAG00000011376.1)
Rfam family: Y RNA
About the family: Y RNAs are components of the Ro ribonucleoprotein particle (Ro RNP), in association with Ro60 and La proteins. The Y RNAs and Ro60 and La proteins are well conserved, but the function of the Ro RNP is not known.
Source: Rfam by way of RNAcentral